Molecule: long non-coding RNA, 214 nt
Filed under: Lathyrus oleraceus (garden pea)
Lineage: Eukaryota; Viridiplantae; Streptophyta; Magnoliopsida; Fabales; Fabaceae
Description: Pisum sativum (pea) long non-coding RNA (PSAT_LNC033424)
Source: RNAcentral
UAAGUUUGACCCAUUGUCUUAGCAGUUGGAUAUUACAAUUAUCCCAUCGCAUCUUACUAAUAUAGAACAUGCACCUCGCGUAGGUGAAACCUACAUUAUCCGAUACUAGUCUUGAUGAGUGCUAAAACUUGGAAAGCAAACAUGUAUAAUAUUAUUAUAAUUUGUUUUGUUAAGUUUGACCCAUUGUCUUAGCAAUUGGAUAUUACAAUUAUCC